This 253-nucleotide ribosomal RNA is filed under the name uncultured bacterium. RNAcentral's name for it is "partial 16S ribosomal RNA". It matches the Rfam family "Bacterial small subunit ribosomal RNA", at positions 524 to 776 of the family's 1533-position model. The record is from RNAcentral.
CACGUAGGGCGCAAGCGUUGUCCGGAAUUACUGGGCGUAAAGCGAACGUAGGCGGUGUUCCAUGUCAGAGGUGAAAGCCUGGGGCUCAACUCCAGAAUUGCCUUUGAAACGGGGACGCUUGAGUCCGAGAGAGGAUGGCGGAAUUCCUAGUGUAGAGGUGAAAUUCGUAGAUAUUAGGAAGAACACCGGUGGCGAAGGCGGCCAUCUGGCUCGGUACUGACGCUCAGGUUCGAAAGCGUGGGGAGCAAACAGG